Long non-coding RNA from Haemorhous mexicanus (house finch), 708 nucleotides. RefSeq lists it as uncharacterized. The record is from RefSeq and is a predicted model, not a curated record. The transcript has 2 exons. Lineage: Eukaryota; Metazoa; Chordata; Aves; Passeriformes; Fringillidae.
UUCAUCUCAGCCGUGCUGUGCUUUGGUCCUCCCCACCCAGAACCAUCAGAGCUUGGGCUCUCCUUGCUCAUUAUGCCAGGGUACAGGUGCCAGCGAGGACAAGAAGCUCAGCUGGUGGGGACAGGCUGGGAUAAGCUGUCUGAGCUACACCAUGGUGUUCCUCCCAGUGGCACACCACAGACAGACAGACAGACAGACAGACAGGCACAUGGCAGGGCUGAGGCCGAGCUCCUCACUGCCGUGGAGGAACGUGGAAUGGCAUUUGCAGUGCCCUGCGGAAAGAAAGGACUCGCACUGAGAGAGCAGCCACAGGACACCUCAGUCUUUCAGAGAAAGAGAAUUUAUUGCUCCAUUAUCAGGAGAGACAAACUUCUUCCUGCCUCGCUCAGCCCUGAAGACGCCGCCAGGAUUCAGAGGAAGAAGUUGACACUGCCCAGACAGAAUCCUGUGUUUGAAUGGAAUUUAUGCAUCAUGUAUGAGGUGCAUGAAUAUGCAACAGGCUGUUGUUUUUAAGGGUUAAUCCUCUGUUAACGUGGGGCCUUUUCCAGGUUUAUUUUGCCCAGAAAAAGGUUCCUGGACUGUCUGUAACUCUUUGUUUCUAUUGUCUCAUAUUGCCUUAAUCCAAAUUGUCCAAAUCAUUAUUACUCUAAUUAUAUUGCUAUUUUUAUAACCAUUCUAUUAUCAUUAAACUUUUAAAACUUAAAAAAA